RNAcentral lists this ribosomal RNA (496 nucleotides) under uncultured bacterium. RNAcentral's name for it is "partial 16S ribosomal RNA". It matches the Rfam family "Bacterial small subunit ribosomal RNA", at positions 28 to 506 of the family's 1533-position model. The record is from RNAcentral.
GAUGAACGCUGGCGGCGUGCCUAAUACAUGCAAGUCGAGCGAACAGACGAGGAGCUUGCUCCUCUGACGUUAGCGGCGGACGGGUGAGUAACACGUGGAUAACCUACCUAUAAGACUGGGAUAACUUCGGGAAACCGGAGCUAAUACCGGAUAACAUGUUGAACCGCAUGGUUCAACAGUGAAAGACGGUCUUGCUGUCACUUAUAGAUGGAUCCGCGCCGCAUUAGCUAGUUGGUAAGGUAACGGCUUACCAAGGCAACGAUGCGUAGCCGACCUGAGAGGGUGAUCGGCCACACUGGAACUGAGACACGGUCCAGACUCCUACGGGAGGCAGCAGUAGGGAAUCUUCCGCAAUGGGCGAAAGCCUGACGGAGCAACGCCGCGUGAGUGAUGAAGGUCUUCGGAUCGUAAAACUCUGUUAUUAGGGAAGAACAAAUGUGUAAGUAACUAUGCACGUCUGGACGGUACCUAAUCAGAAAGCCACGGCUAACUACGU